This is a long non-coding RNA of Carassius auratus (goldfish), 443 nucleotides long. RefSeq lists it as uncharacterized. The transcript has 6 exons. Lineage: Eukaryota; Metazoa; Chordata; Actinopteri; Cypriniformes; Cyprinidae. The record is from RefSeq and is a predicted model, not a curated record.
CAGGACUACACAGGACUCAGUCUCAAAAUGAACCAGUUUAUGAGGAAAUUUAUCAGAGACACAAUCUAUGUACUCAGAGAGGGAGUCUCAUCACUCAAGACACUGAUGAGCUUCUCUCAGAGAGGCUGAAUGAGAUCACUCCAGGAAUCUAUGAGGAUAUCUUCACUGGUGGACCGAUACCAGAUUGUGAAACAGUGGACACACCAGAGAAUUAUGAUGAUGUCAUCAUUAAUGGACAGUGCUCACAAUGUGCAAAAGAGGGAGAUCAGGAGGAGUAUGACGAUGUGUGGAGUAUCACUGAAGAUGUGAGAAACCUGUUAGACUAUGAUGAUGUGGGGGAGGAGUCAAACAAUGAUGGAGGGGUAGUAUGACUCAGUGACCACACCCACUUUUUAUUAGAUUUUUAUUUCAAGUUUUUUGCAUUUGAUUUUUUAAUAUUCUGU